AGUGAACGCUGGCGGUAGGCCUAACACAUGCAAGUCGAACGGCAGCACAGUAAGAGCUUGCUCUUACGGGUGGCGAGUGGCGGACGGUUGAGGAAUACAUCGGAAUCUACUUUUUCGUGGGGGAUAACGUAGGGAAACUUACGCUAAUACCGCAUACGACCUACGGUUGAAAGCAGGGGAUCUUCGGACCUUGCGCGAUUGAAUGAGCCGAUGUCGGAUUAGCUAGUUGGCGGGGUAAAGGCCCACCAAGGCGACGAUCCGUAGCUGGUCUGAGAGGAUGAUCAGCCACACUGGAACUGAGACACGGUCCAGACUCCUACGGGAGGCAGCAGUGGAGAAUAUUGGACAAUGGGCGCAAGCCUGAUCCAGCCAUACCGCGUGGGUGAAGAAGGCCUUCGGGUUGUAAAGCCCUUUUGUUGGGAAAGAAAAGCAGCAGGUUAAUACCCCGCUGUUCUGACGGUACCCAAAGAAUAAGCACCGGCUAACUUCGUG
This 492-nucleotide ribosomal RNA is filed under the name uncultured bacterium. RNAcentral describes it as "partial 16S ribosomal RNA". It matches the Rfam family "Bacterial small subunit ribosomal RNA", at positions 29 to 507 of the family's 1533-position model. The record is from RNAcentral.